This is an RNA transcript of Drosophila novamexicana, 1810 nucleotides long. RefSeq lists it as uncharacterized. The record is from RefSeq and is a predicted model, not a curated record. The transcript has 3 exons. NCBI's taxonomy places the organism in Eukaryota, Metazoa, Arthropoda, Insecta, Diptera, Drosophilidae.
AGUAGGCGACAACUUUCCACAACUACUAAACAUCUAAAUUAACUUUUUAAUUCGUUUUGUUUUUCAUAAAUCUUACGGACUGGCUAGCAGGCAAAUAACGAGACACAGGAAGACAUCGAGUUAAGUAAAAAAAUGACAGAAAUUAACGCUGCAAUACAGGCAAUUACUACAGUAAAAACAACAGUUGAAAUAACUGAUACGAUGGCAGCCUCGACGGCUCCGUCUCUGGUGCAGACCACAUCAAAAACGACAACAACAACAGGAACUCCACGACAAAGAACUUUGAUGCGUGCUGCGGAAAUGGACGCAGAUACCGAUGAGGCUGAUGCGGAUGAUGUAGAUGAUGGUAAAGCUGCUGCUGAUUCUGCUGCUGCUGCUGUCGCUGCUGCUGCUACUGAUGAUGAUGAUGAUGCGGCGGACAGCAUCACUUUGGAGCUGGCAUUGUCACCCAACACGCCCACACCACCACCCACCACUGCCGACGAGGAUCUGGCUGAGCUGGACAACAGCAAGCCUUUCAAGACAAAUCCUAAGCCUGUACGCAAGUGUCCAAUCAGUUUUGCUGCAUUUUGAAGAGCAUAUUUCUAUUUUCAUUGAAAAGCUAUUACCCCCAAUUUGAGCCUAAUUACUACGCUUAUAGAUAUCUUCUAUGCAUGAGUACAUUUUGAACUCGUUAUGCGGUCAUAAAAAUGAGAACGGAGCGCACCGAGGUCCCUAUGUGGUGAACAGGACUCCCCGCCGGCAUGCUGUUGUCUGUGGGACUAAUACGAAUGCGACAUGGAAAACGCAUUUGGUUUUUUCUUUUAAUGUCGUCUGAGAACUGUUCGGUUCUACCUACUAUGCAAAAGCCAUGUUUCAAAAACGAAGAACCAAAACCAAAAUCCUUAUACAAAUGCCAUGCAAAAUGAAUGGGCAGGCGGGUAAAGUGGGAGGGCGGGCUGGAAUGAAUUAAGUUAGAAAAUACACAUGCUACAAACAUGACAAGAACAACAGCAAUAGCAACAGCAACAGCUACAACAACAACAAGCAAUUACAACAAGUAAAAGCCUGGUAAGGUAAAAGCAGGCGCACACAUUGCGUAUACGCAACGUAGCGCAUUAAAGUAAAUAAGCGAGCAUUAUUCAUGUCCAAGCAAGCGUGCAACUUAACUAUACCACUCCAUGGGGCAAUACCAAGUAGCAAUAAGCUGCAGCACUUGCCUGGGGGAGGGGGGCUGUCUGUUGCCCGUCUGUUGACUAUCUGCUAAUAAUAUGCGUGUCAAUGCGGUGACAAGCUUGUAAAUUGCGAUGCUUUCCGAUGUCUUCCCUUCGCCCUUCCUUGUUUGUUAUUGCUGUAAAAUACUUAAUGGACUCGCAAUUGCAGAGAGUAAACUAUUUCAAUAAUGUAAUGGGACAACAACGGCUACAGGCAGGCCCCGGUUACUAUGGCAUUUUGAUGGCAAUCGUGGGAAAUUAGUGCCGGCAAAUAGCAUCGGCGAGGAGCCUGACUCCGUACAAUGGAAGCACAAAGCAAAGCUGUGCAGAGUGCUGAAAUGUAAUACAAACAAUUCAUACUUCAAUAGAACCACGUAUAAAUGGGUCAAUUUUCACAAAGGUCUAGCUGAAUGGAGUGAAAGCUCAGGGGGCACGUUGGCAAAACAGCUGCUAGUACGAGAUCCGCCUUGCCUAUUAUAUUUCUGUGAAUUGAAUUGAGCAAAUCGAAUAUUUCAGAACUAGCAGUUACAAAUAGACAACAAAUAAAUAUCAAUAGAACUAAGGUUAAUAAUAAACAAAAGACCAGUCCCGCUGUGCCGACGAGAUGUGGCAGUUGA